RNAcentral lists this long non-coding RNA (243 nucleotides) under Elaeis guineensis (African oil palm). RNAcentral describes it as "long non-coding RNA (EGUI_LNC004048)". The record is from RNAcentral. Lineage: Eukaryota; Viridiplantae; Streptophyta; Magnoliopsida; Arecales; Arecaceae.
CUUCUUAUUCGAUAGAUAGAAUGGAGGUGUAGAUACAUCCGUAUUAUCUAAUGGGAUGUAUAAGAAUAAUCCAUUCGAGAAUCAGAAGAGUGUAUCAAAAUAUACUCCUUUGUGUCAGUUUAAACUUGAGGUAAAAAAGAUGGGUACAAGGGGAUCAAAAUUUAAUCUAACCAUCCAAUAGAUGAGCCAGAAAUAUUUAUAGUUCUGUAUUUUCGAAUGAAACAUAUAAGAAUAAUCCGUUCG